UAGCUCAGUGGUAGAGCACUCACCUAGCAUAUGUGAGGCUCUAGGUUCAAACCCUGG
RNAcentral lists this transfer RNA (57 nucleotides) under Cricetulus griseus (Chinese hamster). It matches the Rfam family "tRNA", at positions 8 to 63 of the family's 71-position model. Rfam says of the family: Transfer RNA (tRNA) molecules are approximately 80 nucleotides in length. Their secondary structure includes four short double-helical elements and three loops (D, anti-codon, and T loops). The record is from Rfam by way of RNAcentral. Lineage: Eukaryota; Metazoa; Chordata; Mammalia; Rodentia; Cricetidae.